This 294-nucleotide unclassified non-coding RNA is filed under the name Alternaria sp. RNAcentral's name for it is "partial contains 5.8S ribosomal RNA, internal transcribed spacer 2, and large subunit ribosomal RNA". The record is from RNAcentral. RNAcentral also lists the same sequence under 3 other names. Lineage: Eukaryota; Fungi; Ascomycota; Dothideomycetes; Pleosporales; Pleosporaceae.
AACGCACCUUGCACCCUUUGGCAUUCCGAAGGGUAUGCUCGUUUGAGUGUCAUUGUACUCUCACACUUCCAAUUCUAUGGAUUGGGAGCGGUGGACUUGGGCGCUGCUGCUUUACUGUGGCUCACCUCAAAUGCAUUAGUGCAACCCUUGGUUAGACAUAGUACGGCGUGAUAAGUGUCUUCGCUGGCGCCUCACUUAGAGGGUGGCUGAUCAGGGGCUCUGUGCUUCAAACCGUCUUUGGACAAUGGCUGACAACUUGACCUCAAAUCGAGUAGGACUACCCGCUGAACUUAA